UUAAGCGACUAAGCGUACACGGUGGAUGCCCUGGCAGUCAGAGGCGAUGAAGGACGUGCUAAUCUGCGAAAAGCGUCGGUAAGGUGAUAUGAACCGUUAUAACCGGCGAUGUCCGAAUGGGGAAACCCAGUGCAAUUCGUUGCACUAUCGUUAACUGAAUACAUAGGUUAACGAGGCGAACCGGGGGAACUGAAACAUCUAAGUACCCCGAGGAAAAGAAAUCAACCGAGAUUCCCCCAGUAGCGGCGAGCGAACGGGGAGCAGCCCAGAGUCUGAAUCAGCUUGUGUGUUAGUGGAACGGUCUGGAAAGUCCGACGGUACAGGGUGAUAGUCCCGUACACCAAAAUGCACAGGUUGUGAACUCGAAGAGUAGGGCGGGACACGUGGUAUCCUGUCUGAAUAUGGGGGGACCAUCCUCCAAGGCUAAAUACUCCUGACUGACCGAUAGUGAACCAGUACCGUGAGGGAAAGGCGAAAAGAACCCCGGCGAGGGGAGUGAAAAAGAACCUGAAACCGUGUACGUACAAGCAGUGGGAGCACCUUCGGGUGUGACUGCGUACCUUUUGUAUAAUGGGUCAGCGACUUAUAUUCUGUAGCAAGGUUAACCGUAUAGGGGAGCCGCAGGGAAACCGAGUCUUAACUGGGCGUUAAGUUGCAGGGUAUAGACCCGAAACCCGGUGAUCUAGCCAUGGGCAGGUUGAAGGUUGGGUAACACUAACUGGAGGACCGAACCGACUAAUGUUGAAAAAUUAGCGGAUGACUUGUGGCUGGGGGUGAAAGGCCAAUCAAACCGGGAGAUAGCUGGUUCUCCCCGAAAGCUAUUUAGGUAGCGCCUCGUGAACUCAUCUUCGGGGGUAGAGCACUGUUUCGGCUAGGGGGUCAUCCCGACUUACCAACCCGAUGCAAACUACGAAUACCGAAGAAUGUUAUCACGGGAGACACACGGCGGGUGCUAACGUCCGUCGUGAAGAGGGAAACAACCCAGACCGCCAGCUAAGGUCCCAAAGUCAUGGUUAAGUGGGAAACGAUGUGGGAAGGCACAGACAGCCAGGAUGUUGGCUUAGAAGCAGCCAUCAUUUAAAGAAAGCGUAAUAGCUCACUGGUCGAGUCGGCCUGCGCGGAAGAUGUAACGGGGCUAAACCAUGCACCGAAGCUGCGGCAGCGACACUAUGUGUUGUUGGGUAGGGGAGCGUUCUGUAAGCCUGCGAAGGUGACCUGUGAGGGUUGCUGGAGGUAUCAGAAGUGCGAAUGCUGACAUAAGUAACGAUAAAGCGGGUGAAAAGCCCGCUCGCCGGAAGACCAAGGGUUCCUGUCCAACGUUAAUCGGGGCAGGGUGAGUCGACCCCUAAGGCGAGGCCGAAAGGCGUAGUCGAUGGGAAACAGGUUAAUAUUCCUGUACUUGGUGUUACUGCGAAGGGGGGACGGAGAAGGCUAUGUUAGCCGGGCGACGGUUGUCCCGGUUUAAGCAUGUAGGCUGAUUGUCCAGGCAAAUCCGGAUAAUCAAGGCUGAGGUGUGAUGACGAGGCACUACGGUGCUGAAGUAACAAAUGCCCUGCUUCCAGGAAAAGCCUCUAAGCAUCAGGUAACAUUAAAUCGUACCCCAAACCGACACAGGUGGUCAGGUAGAGAAUACCAAGGCGCUUGAGAGAACUCGGGUGAAGGAACUAGGCAAAAUGGUGCCGUAACUUCGGGAGAAGGCACGCUGGUGUGUAGGUGAAGCCCCUGCGGGUGGAGCUGAGACCAGUCGAAGAUACCAGCUGGCUGCAACUGUUUAUUAAAAACACAGCACUGUGCAAACACGAAAGUGGACGUAUACGGUGUGACGCCUGCCCGGUGCCGGAAGGUUAAUUGAUGGGGUUAUCCGUAAGGAGAAGCUCUUGAUCGAAGCCCCGGUAAACGGCGGCCGUAACUAUAACGGUCCUAAGGUAGCGAAAUUCCUUGUCGGGUAAGUUCCGACCUGCACGAAUGGCGUAAUGAUGGCCAGGCUGUCUCCACCCGAGACUCAGUGAAAUUGAACUCGCUGUGAAGAUGCAGUGUACCCGCGGCAAGACGGAAAGACCCCGUGAACCUUUACUAUAGCUUGACACUGAACAUUGAGCCUUGAUGUGUAGGAUAGGUGGGAGGCUUUGAAGCGUGGACGCCAGUCUGCGUGGAGCCAACCUUGAAAUACCACCCUUUAAUGUUUGAUGUUCUAACGUUGGCCCCUUACCGGGGUUGCGGACAGUGUCUGGUGGGUAGUUUGACUGGGGCGGUCUCCUCCCAAAGCGUAACGGAGGAGCACGAAGGUUAGCUAAUCCUGGUCGGACAUCAGGAGGUUAGUGCAAUGGCAUAAGCUAGCUUGACUGCGAGCGUGACGGCGCGAGCAGGUGCGAAAGCAGGUCAUAGUGAUCCGGUGGUUCUGAAUGGAAGGGCCAUCGCUCAACGGAUAAAAGGUACUCCGGGGAUAACAGGCUGAUACCGCCCAAGAGUUCAUAUCGACGGCGGUGUUUGGCACCUCGAUGUCGGCUCAUCACAUCCUGGGGCUGAAGUAGGUCCCAAGGGUAUGGCUGUUCGCCAUUUAAAGUGGUACGCGAGCUGGGUUUAGAACGUCGUGAGACAGUUCGGUCCCUAUCUGCCGUGGGCGCUGGAGAAUUGAGGGGGGCUGCUCCUAGUACGAGAGGACCGGAGUGGACGCAUCACUGGUGUUCGGGUUGUCAUGCCAAUGGCACUGCCCGGUAGCUAAAUGCGGAAGAGAUAAGUGCUGAAAGCAUCUAAGCACGAAACUUGCCCCGAGAUGAGUUCUCCCUGAGACUAUAAGUCUCCUGAAGGAACGUUAAAGACGAUGACGUUGAUAGGCCGGGUGUGUAAGCGCAGCGAUGCGUUGAGCUAACCGGUACUAAUGAACCGUGAGGCUUAACCUU
This 2900-nucleotide ribosomal RNA is filed under the name Klebsiella pneumoniae. RNAcentral describes it as "bacterial LSU rRNA". It matches the Rfam family "Bacterial large subunit ribosomal RNA". Lineage: Bacteria; Pseudomonadati; Pseudomonadota; Gammaproteobacteria; Enterobacterales; Enterobacteriaceae. The record is from RNAcentral.